This is a non-coding RNA of Acanthosepion pharaonis, 118 nucleotides long. NCBI's taxonomy places the organism in Eukaryota, Metazoa, Mollusca, Cephalopoda, Sepiida, Sepiidae. The record is from the annotation of a GenBank genome assembly.
UUACGGCCAUAUCAUGUUGAAAGACCGAAUUUCGUACGAUCACCGAAGUUAAGCAAGUUAAGAUCAAGCCUGAUCUGUACCGAGAUGGGUGACGGCUUAGGAAUACCAGGUGCUGUAA